Molecule: ribosomal RNA, 468 nt
Filed under: uncultured bacterium
Lineage: Bacteria
Description: partial 16S ribosomal RNA
Rfam family: Bacterial small subunit ribosomal RNA
Source: RNAcentral
GACGAACGCUGGCGGCGUGCUUAACACAUGCAAGUCGAACGGAAAGGCUCCAGCUUGCUGGGGUGCUCGAGUGGCGAACGGGUGAGUAACACGUGGGUGAUCUGCCCUGCACUUCGGGAUAAGCCUGGGAAACUGGGGCUAAUACCGGAUAGGAGCGCACUCUGGAUGGUGGGGUGGAGAGGGUUUUGUGGGGUGGGAUGAGCUCGCGGCCUAUCAGUUUGUUGGGGGGGGAAUGGCCUACCAAGACGGCGACGGGUAGGCGGGCUGGGGGGGUGGACGGGCAAAUUGGGGAUGAGAUACGGCCCAGACUCCUAAGGGGGGGAGCAGUGGGGGAUAUUGCAAAAUGGGGGAAAACCUGAUGCAGCGACGCCGGGUGGGGGAUGAAGGCCUUCGGGUUGUAAACUCCUUUCGCUCGGGACGAAGCUUUUUGUGACGGUACCUGGAGAAGAAGCACCGGCUAACUACGUG